RNAcentral lists this ribosomal RNA (515 nucleotides) under uncultured bacterium. RNAcentral's name for it is "partial 16S ribosomal RNA". It matches the Rfam family "Bacterial small subunit ribosomal RNA", at positions 28 to 523 of the family's 1533-position model. The record is from RNAcentral.
GAUGAACGCUGGCGGCGUGCCUAAUACAUGCAAGUCGAGCGAAUGGAUUAAGAGCUUGCUCUUAUGAAGUUAGCGGCGGACGGGUGAGUAACACGUGAGUAACCUGCCCAUAAGACUGGGAUAACUCCGGGAAACCGGGGCUAAUACCGGAUGACAUUUUGAACCGCAUGGUUCGAAAUUGAAAGGCGGCUUCGGCUGUCACUUAUGGAUGGACCCGCGUCGCAUUAGCUAGUUGGUGAGGUAACGGCUCACCAAGGCAACGAUGCGUAGCCGGCCUGAGAGGGUGAUCGGCCACACUGGGACUGAGACACGGCCCAGACUCCUACGGGAGGCAGCAGUAGGGAAUCUUCCGCAAUGGACGAAAGUCUGACGGAGCAACGCCGCGUGAGUGAUGAGGGCUUUCGGGUCGUAAAACUCUGUUGUUAGGGAAGAACAAGUGCUAGUUGAAUAAGCUGGCACCUUGACGGUACCUAACCAGAAAGCCACGGCUAACUACGUGCCAGCCGCCGCGGUAA